Molecule: ribosomal RNA, 126 nt
Filed under: Candidatus Limisoma faecipullorum
Lineage: Bacteria; Pseudomonadati; Bacteroidota; Bacteroidia; Bacteroidales
Description: partial 16S ribosomal RNA
Rfam family: Bacterial small subunit ribosomal RNA
Source: RNAcentral
ACAACGGAGAGUUUGAUCCUGGCUCAGGAUGAACGCUAGCGGCAGGCUUAACACAUGCAAGUCGAGGGGCAUCGCGGUGUGGCAACACACCGGCGGCGACCGGCGCACUGGUGAGUAACGCGUAUG